This is a non-coding RNA of Potamilus streckersoni, 74 nucleotides long. The record is from the annotation of a GenBank genome assembly. Lineage: Eukaryota; Metazoa; Mollusca; Bivalvia; Unionida; Unionidae.
CGCUCCAGUGGCCUAGUGGUUACAGCGUCCACCUCGGAUGCGGGAGGUCGCGGGUUCAAACCCCGACGGAGUGA